Pseudoliparis swirei is the source of this 69-nucleotide small nucleolar RNA. The record is from RefSeq and is a predicted model, not a curated record. NCBI's taxonomy places the organism in Eukaryota, Metazoa, Chordata, Actinopteri, Perciformes, Liparidae.
UUGCAAUGAUGACAGAAUUUCUUCACCUGAAACACAGUGAUGAUUUAUAGCUUUUUAACCCUGAGCAUU